UACGGAGGAGGCAAGCGUCAUCCGCAAUUAUUGGGCGUAAAGCGUCCGUAGGUGGUUGGCCAAGUCUGCUGUCAAAGGGUGGGGCUUAACCUCAUAAAGGCAGUGGAAACUGGCGAGCUAGAGUGCGGUAGGGGUAGGGGGAAUUCCCAGUGUAGCGGUGAAAUGCGUAGAGAUUGGGAAGAACAUCGGUGGCGAAAGCGCCCUGCUGGGCCUGCACUGACACUGAGGGACGAAAGCUAGGGGAGCUAAAGGG
This 253-nucleotide ribosomal RNA is filed under the name uncultured bacterium. RNAcentral describes it as "partial 16S ribosomal RNA". It matches the Rfam family "Bacterial small subunit ribosomal RNA", at positions 524 to 776 of the family's 1533-position model. The record is from RNAcentral.